GGUGGCUCAGUGGAGAGCGCUUGCCUUGCAAUGCAUGAGGCCCUGGGUUCGAUUCCUCAGCACCA
This 65-nucleotide transfer RNA is filed under the name Dipodomys ordii (Ord's kangaroo rat). It matches the Rfam family "tRNA". From Rfam's summary of the family: Transfer RNA (tRNA) molecules are approximately 80 nucleotides in length. Their secondary structure includes four short double-helical elements and three loops (D, anti-codon, and T loops). The record is from Rfam by way of RNAcentral. Lineage: Eukaryota; Metazoa; Chordata; Mammalia; Rodentia; Heteromyidae.